RNAcentral lists this unclassified non-coding RNA (351 nucleotides) under Zea mays. RNAcentral's name for it is "misc RNA Zm00001eb373530". The record is from RNAcentral. Lineage: Eukaryota; Viridiplantae; Streptophyta; Magnoliopsida; Poales; Poaceae.
CCUACUAGUGGGUGUGCGGAGGAGCGUCGUCGUCGUCGGCGACGUCGGGCUCCGGCUCGACGUGGCCUCGGUGGGCAGGGACGCGGUUGCCGCGGCGGCCGCGAUUCUUGCGGGCGGACAGCUGCAGGCGGCAGCGCGGGAGCCAGGCGAGGAUGCUCCGCAGCACCCGCUUGAGCACCUGCCCGCGCUUCCGCACGAACGCCCUCUUGUUGGUCCGUUCUUCACGCGCGGCGCCGGGGACGACCAUCGGAUGGAGUGGACACUUGGUGGAGUGGACUGGAGUGGAGACCCUGCUAUGCGCGCGGCGUGGCUAAUCCGCUAAUAUGCUUGCACUUGCAGCAGAGAGCGAGG